This 448-nucleotide ribosomal RNA is filed under the name uncultured bacterium. RNAcentral's name for it is "bacterial SSU rRNA". It matches the Rfam family "Bacterial small subunit ribosomal RNA", at positions 29 to 521 of the family's 1533-position model. The record is from RNAcentral.
AGCGAACGCUGGCGGCAGGCUUAACACAUGCAAGUCGAACGCCCGUAGCAAUACGGGAGUGGCAGACGGGUGAGUAACACGUGGGAACGUGCCCUUCAGUUCGGAACAACCCAGGGAAACUUGGGCUAAUACCGGAUACGUCCGUAAGGAGAAAGAUUUAUCGCUGAAGGAUCGGCCCGCGUCUGAUUAGCUAGUUGGUGAGGUAACGGCUCACCAAGGCGACGAUCAGUAGCUGGCUGAGAGGACGAUCAGCCACACUGGGACUGAGACACGGCCCAGACUCCUACGGGAGGCAGCAGUGGGGAAUCUUGGACAAUGGGCGCAAGCCUGAUCCAGCCAUGCCGCGUGAGUGAUAAGGCCUUAGGGUUGUAAAGCUCUUUCGGUGGGGAAGAUAAUGACGGUACCCACAGAAGAAAGCCCCGGCUAACUUCGUGCCAGCCGCCGCGGU